RNAcentral lists this ribosomal RNA (258 nucleotides) under uncultured Burkholderiales bacterium. RNAcentral's name for it is "partial 16S ribosomal RNA". It matches the Rfam family "Bacterial small subunit ribosomal RNA", at positions 545 to 802 of the family's 1533-position model. Lineage: Bacteria; Pseudomonadati; Pseudomonadota; Betaproteobacteria; Burkholderiales. The record is from RNAcentral.
UCGGAAUUACUGGGCGUAAAGCGUGCGCAGGCGGUUUUGUAAGACAGUGGUGAAAUCCCCGGGCUCAACCUGGGAACUGCCAUUGUGACUGCAAGGCUAGAGUGCGGCAGAGGGGGGUGGAAUUCCGCGUGUAGCAGUGAAAUACGUAGAUAUGCGGAGGAACACCGAUGGCGAAGGCAAUCCCCUGGGCCUGCACUGACGCUCAUGCACGAAAGCGUGGGGAGCAAACAGGAUUAGAUACCCUGGUAGUCAAGGGCG